RNAcentral lists this small nucleolar RNA (117 nucleotides) under Echinops telfairi (small Madagascar hedgehog). Its description in RNAcentral is "Small nucleolar RNA SNORA61 (ENSETEG00000026737.1)". The record is from RNAcentral. Lineage: Eukaryota; Metazoa; Chordata; Mammalia; Afrosoricida; Tenrecidae.
CUCCUCCAGUGUCCUUUCCCGUCAGCUCUAACCCUGGUCUGAGCGGUUAUAAAAGGAGAAAAGUAAAAUUGACCUUGGCAGAGUGCUUGGUGGCCCAUGAGCUAGGAUCAGACAAGU